This 486-nucleotide ribosomal RNA is filed under the name uncultured bacterium. RNAcentral's name for it is "partial 16S ribosomal RNA". It matches the Rfam family "Bacterial small subunit ribosomal RNA", at positions 30 to 507 of the family's 1533-position model. The record is from RNAcentral.
AUUGAACGCUGGCGGAAUGCUUUACACAUGCAAGUCGAACGGCAGCACGGGAGCUUGCUCCUGGUGGCGAGUGGCGAACGGGUGAGUAACAUAUCGGAACGUACCCAGUCGUGGGGGAUAACUAUCCGAAAGGAUAGCUAAUACCGCAUACGUCCUGAGGGAGAAAGCGGGGGAUCGCAAGACCUCGCGCGAUUGGAGCGGCCGAUAUCGGAUUAGCUAGUUGGUGGGGUAAAGGCUCACCAAGGCGACGAUCCGUAGCGGGUCUGAGAGGACGACCCGCCACACUGGAACUGAGACACGGUCCAGACUCCUACGGGAGGCAGCAGUGGGGAAUUUUGGACAAAGGGGGCAACCCUGAUCCAGCCAUUCCGCGUGAGUGAAGAAGGCCUUCGGGUUGUAAAGCUCUUUCAGCAGGAACGAAACGGUCGGCUUUAAUAAAGUCGGCUAAUGACGGUACCUGCAGAAGAAGCACCGGCUAACUACGUG